Non-coding RNA from Danio rerio (zebrafish), 960 nucleotides. The record is from RefSeq and is a predicted model, not a curated record. Lineage: Eukaryota; Metazoa; Chordata; Actinopteri; Cypriniformes; Danionidae.
AUCUGAGGCAUUUAAACUUAAGAGUCAGUUUUCUGAGGAGAACGGAUAACGGUCCGUCUGAGAAAAAUAUGCGGAGUUAUGGAGUUAUUGCGCUGCAUUUCUGCUUAAAGCAAACUGUCACGUUCAGGAUUUAAUGUCAGCCAUGUGAUUAACACGUCGUCUUUAGUUUACUGAGGAAAUUCUCGUCUUCAAUCCAGCGUUGAUUACCAGAGCUACAGAAGAACAACCGCCGUAUCAUCAGAAACAGACCAAAACUCUUCAGAAAAGUUGAAGGUAGCUGGACAGGACAUGAAAUCAAGAUCGAGGGGGGAUAGGAUUGGGAAAGGUCCACAAGCAGGGAUUCAAAUUCGGGACAUGCCUUUCUACACCAAUAUGCUUUCAGCACAUUGCAAUUACAUAGCAAGGUAAGUUUACAUUUGCAUAGAUUUUGUAUAAGUGUGUUGUUUGUAGUAUCUGUUUUUCAUAAGACAUAAGCAUAUUAUUGAGGUUGGUAAUUCUAUACUGUUAUUAUAUUUAUUAGUGCUGUCAAAUGAUUAAUUAGGUUUUAAUUUAUAGUAUGUAUACACAUGCAUGCAAGCUUGAAAAAAUGUUUAUUUUAAGCCCCCUUUUUUCUUGGUUCAGGCAGUUCUUGAAAUGUUUUCCUUUACUGGCAAAAACAUUUUUAACUCUAUAUUAGCUCAGCAUUGUUUCUCGUUUUGACCAAUUUGAGCAUCCAUAACCAAUGCACAACCUAAAAAUAGUUCCUAUGUAAAAUAAUCUCUUCCUGGUCUCCAUUAGAAUUUUGUGUUGCACAAUGAAAAUUUGCAAAAAAAUCUACAGGCUCAUGAAGAUGAUUCUAUUCCAUUAGGUUUGUUUCUCACUUUAAAUCUGUUUUACAGUCAGCAACAAUAAUCUUGUAAGCAACACAUACGAAACUUGCACACAUAUGAAAAUUGGCACUCACAUCAAACAUGCUAAUAC